Rhododendron vialii is the source of this 2534-nucleotide long non-coding RNA. RefSeq lists it as uncharacterized. Lineage: Eukaryota; Viridiplantae; Streptophyta; Magnoliopsida; Ericales; Ericaceae. The transcript has 2 exons. The record is from RefSeq and is a predicted model, not a curated record.
GAUAUCAGUUUCUAGGUCAAACACAAUAUUUGUGUACACUAUACAAAUUUUCAGCACACUAUCCUUUCAGCAGACCACUCGAUAUCAGUUACAUACAUAAUUAAACGAAGCCAAUGCUUAAAAAACAAAAUCCCCUCAACAAUGAGUUUACCAAAUAGCAGCCAAAGGAGUAAAGAACCGAACGAAGCUUGAGAAAUAACUCAGAAGAAGAAAGCACUAGACCAGUGGUGUAGAAAAGACCCAAACAAUCAGCAAACUCAGUUUGAUUUGUAUGGUUCUCGGCAAAACAACCCACCCACAACUGCCCCCUUAUAUAUAAUUUAGCUAUGCAUGGUUCACACUUCACAUGUCUGCACGCUACCGCUUACAACUAUGUCUGAUAGACAUACUCCUAUGUCAUAUAGUUGCGGUAGCAAUCUCCCUUUUAUGUAUUAAGGUUGCUAGAAAUAUCUUGCGCCUCGUUGUCUACAGGCAAUGGUGAUUCUCGGCUCUGUUGUCAGUUAUAUGGUUGUUGGCUGAAGGGCGUUAGAACGCUAGAAGAAGCACAUUAAGAAGUUUAUAGGUCUACAUUUAACAAUCGGGCAUGUUUCAUCUCUAUGCUCUAGCUUGAGGGGGAAUGUAGAGUCUUAUCUCUGAGUUAUUUCAACCUUAGUGCCAUUCCGGUCUGACCUGUUGCAUCACUGACGGUAUCGAUCAGCCAUACAGUUGGUAGUUGGUACUGGGUCCGAACAUUAAUUUUGUUUCAAGUUUCGGCCUACAGCGGGUGUAGGGGUGUAGGUUUCAUUAUUCGACCAUACUAACCGUCACAUUAUUAUAUGCUAUACACAAAAACUAGGCUGCUACAUGUGUUGUCUUCUGAGAUUGCAAAAUUUGGUUAGUUUAUAUCUCUUUGUAUAUGUGGCGCUCAUCCAUGGGUACUCAAAAUAUACAAUAAAUUGAAGCAUUGGAAGUAAUAAAAGCCUGAAAUGUCCAACAAAUCUAAAAGUUUUUUCUCUCUCCUCCCUUGAACGCAAUAUCUCUCUUUCUCAGAGACUCCAAGGAACAGCAAAGACAAAAAUGAAGAUUGAUGAUAAAUUAAAACUUUGAAAGUAUCAAAAACCUGCAAUGUUCUACAUAUCUAAAAGCUUUUCUCUCUCCUCUUAAACCCAAUAUUCUCUCUCUGAGACUCCAACAAGCAACAAAGAUGGCAUUGAAGAUUGAAGCUCUCUGAUUACAAGUGGAAGAUUCAUGCUCUCUCAUCUCUCUGAGUCUCCUACAAACAACAAAGAUAAAGACAAAGUCGAUGGGUCUUCUAUAGUUCUAUGGACAAUAACAUAUCUCCUUUAUCUCUCUUCUCAACGUGAGAUUCAAAACGAAUGCGAAAGGGCAGAGAGAACAAGGCUACCCAAUCAAACCUACUAAAUCUGACCGGUACCCACCCGAUCCAAUAGCUGCAAUUUCAAGGACUCAUUCGGUCAGCUGCAAGUGACGCUUUCUUGAACCCGAAUGGUUCAGAUGGAGUGACGGACUGAGCACAAAACCGACCACCCCUACUAGAUGUAAUGAUCAUGCAUAUACAAAAUCAAGGUCGAAUAAGCUCAUCUAUAGAUUUGCCACAUUAAACUUAUCUUCAUCUCUUCUUCUUAGGGCUGAUAAAUGGACCAGGCUACUAGAGUUCAAGUUUGAGCUCGUGUUUGCUUGUUAAAUACUAAUUCAAUAUCAGUUUGGUAUAGAUAGAGUCAUAGUCUCAUAGACAACCCAACCCAACCCAAACUUGAACAUUACACGAAGCUCAUUAAUGCCUUGUUUGGAUAGUGAUUUGAAAAAAAAUUCUCAACUCAAAAAAUACUCAUUACUCCUACUUCCAAUCAUUACUCACAUCUAUCUCCAAUCAUUAUUCUCAUUUCUCUCUCUCUCUCUAUCUCUCUCCAAUCAUUACUCUCAUUUCUCUCUCCACUCAUAACACUACAAAAAUUUCUCAAAAACUCAUCCAAACACAGCAUAAACUUCCCAAACCAAUCUUUAACAAGCUACUACUUUUACGCUGUUCAAAAACUCAUACUAUUCGAGAUCGGCUCAUUUAAAGCUCGUUUGAGAUUGACGUGCCUAGUCAACAAUCCAAAUUGUACGUGCUUUUUAAUCUCUAUUAUGUUUUCAAACCAAGCUUGAACAGUUCACUGCUUGGCUCGUCUAUCAGUCCUACUUCCUCAGCUCUAAACCCUCAAAUUCUAUUUUACACUUAGAAACAGUGAUAGCCAAGAUAAGGGCCCCACAUAGCCCCAACCAAGCCACACCUUUAAACAAGCAAGAGUGCAAGGACCAAGUACUACACAAUCUCAAAAUUUUACUACUAGGGCCCUUUUUAAGAUCCCUUCAUUUGUUUUUAAGAAAUUAUUUAUGGUACCUUUGAAGAACUUAUUCAAGAUAUGCUGAAAAUCCGCACCGUAAUCGCAUAAAUUGGACAGCCUAAUAGAUCAAUCCACCUUUGACACUCGUGACCCUCUAUCUCCUCCAGCAGAAGAUUAGCAUCAACCACCUUUGUCACGUGUUAUUUC